AGAGCUAAUUUCUCAGCGGAGAAUAUGUUGUACAGCGACCUCUGCUUAUGCCUCAAAGACCAAGACGCUCCCCAGACUAACCUCAUCACGCGUUCUGGUUAUCUUCCGGUGGGGCUUCGGCCGAGGCUACCCUGGAUUGGACGUUGGUUCAGAUACUUCGAAUGGUGUUUACUGGUCGCCUGGAGGAUGGCUGUUACACUAAGGAGGAGCUGGACGGAUAAUCUCUCAUCUCACAGCAGGCCUGAGGGCUAAGUCCCCAUUCUGCAGAUGGGUAAACUGAGGCUCAGAGAGCCUCACAAUCCACCCAAAGGCAUGUCAUUAUUAAAUGGCACAACUGGGAUUUGCACCCUUUUCUGUAUUGUGCUGUUUUUACUCUACUCUGCCAACGGCUAUAUAGACUUUAAACUCAAGAUUAUAACAACCUAGCAACCUGACAUUCAACUUAAUUCGGAAAAUACUUUGUGUUUAUCCUGUGCCCAGCUUGGAGAAGUGGUGCUCUUGCUGGGGAGGACUGAGCGCCGCGGACGGGUGUCCUCUAAACCGAGCGCUGACGAGCACCCCGAGAGCGGCAGAGUCUCCAGAGCCCCAGGCAGCAGCCACAGGAGGCCAGAGAGACAGUCGGGCAUCUCGGCCAUCUCAUACGACUACUCGGAAGAGGAGCUGAUGGCCAGCAUCGAGCAGGAGUAUUGUCGCUGAGGCCACCGGAGCAGCCCUGCAGGCCCCCGCCCCAGCCAGCCGAGGCUGCUCCUCUGCCCCCCACCCCGCCUGACCCCCCGCCUGACCAGACUGGGGUUGCAGCCCCGCCCCUGCCCAGGCUCUGGCUGGAGCUGAGCCCCCUCCAACAUGCAGUUACUCCUGGUUCUUUCAAAAGAUCCGGCUUCAAGCUUGCUGGCAAAGGGUGGUCAGCCAGCAGACUCCCAGCUACUCCUCUCUCAGUCUCUGGGGAGGGCUUGUCUCCGGGGUUCUCCUGGAGCCUGAAAUGCUUUCCUGGCCGGAUGGCCCUCUCUGCACCAGGACUGGGGACAGCUCACCAGUGAGUGUGGCCCAGACUGGCUCCCUUGGGGCCUCUAAGGCGUCCCCCAGCACCUGACGGCACCCAGGCAGUGUGCUUUCCUGAGCUGGGGGGAGUCACCCUGGUUUUGCCCCGCAGCUGCCUGGAGAUGUUGGUUCUGUGGGUCUGGGGCGGGGCCGGAGAGUCUGAAUUUCUAACCAGCCCCCAGGUGAGACCCGAGCUCCUGGACCCCAGCCUGGCACCGGGUAGGAAGGCCUGAGUCUAAGCUUUAGACCUUAACUGACUCUUCCUUCCUGGCACUGGGGCUGCUCAGAGCCACAGCCCCCCUGCCCCCCUGGAGAGAGGCCUGCUCCCCUCCUCGGCAGGUGUGAUGGACAGAGAGCACAGGGCUGGGAGCUGGAGCCUCAGUUCUGAUCCUCGCCCUUGCACUAACGUGCCUGUGCGCCUCAGUUUCCCUCUCUAGAAAUGGAGUCCUGGAGGCUCUUCCAGGCAUUCCAGCCCCGACAGUCUGGGAUCAGGCAAUUCCAGGCUUCCUUGAUCUGUGCUGUUCUGCCAGCCCCCUGGGGCACAGAGCUGCCCCUGCAGCUUUGGGGGAGCACCCCGGCCCCAACUGGAGGAGGUCCUGAGGAACACCUGCUCUCACCAGCCCGAGGGGACCGGUUUACUCUCUUCCCACCUGGGAGAAG
RNAcentral lists this long non-coding RNA (1698 nucleotides) under Ursus maritimus (polar bear). RNAcentral describes it as "lncRNA (ENSUMAG00000003473.1)". Lineage: Eukaryota; Metazoa; Chordata; Mammalia; Carnivora; Ursidae. The record is from RNAcentral.